RNAcentral lists this ribosomal RNA (429 nucleotides) under Bacteroidota bacterium. RNAcentral's name for it is "Bacteroidetes bacterium partial 16S ribosomal RNA". It matches the Rfam family "Bacterial small subunit ribosomal RNA", at positions 355 to 776 of the family's 1533-position model. Lineage: Bacteria; Pseudomonadati; Bacteroidota. The record is from RNAcentral.
UAGGGAAUCUUCCGCAAUGGACGCAAGUCUGACGGAGCAACGCCGCGUGAGUGAAGAAGGAUUUCGGUUCGUAAAACUCUGUUGUUAGAGAAGAACAGCGCAUAGAGUAACUGUUAUGCGUGUGACGGUAUCUAACCAGAAAGCCACGGCUAACUACGUGCCAGCAGCCGCGGUAAUACGUAGGUGGCAAGCGUUGUCCGGAUUUAUUGGGCGUAAAGCGAGCGCAGGCGGUCAAUUAAGUCUGUGGUGAAAGCCCCCGGCUCAAUCGGGGAGGGUUAUUGGAAACGAGUUGACUGGAGUGCAGAAGAGGGGAGUGGAAUUCCAUGUGUGGCGGUGAAAUGCGUAGAUAUAUGGAGGAACACCAGUGGCGAAGGCGACUCUCUGGUCUGUAACUGACGCUGAGGUAAGAAAGCGUGGGUAGCAAGCAGG